RNAcentral lists this ribosomal RNA (253 nucleotides) under uncultured bacterium. Its description in RNAcentral is "partial 16S ribosomal RNA". It matches the Rfam family "Bacterial small subunit ribosomal RNA", at positions 525 to 776 of the family's 1533-position model. The record is from RNAcentral.
ACGUAGGCACCAAGCGUUGUCCGGAUUUAUUGGGCGUAAAGAGCUCGUAGGCGGUUCAGUAAGUCGGGUGUGAAAACUCUGGGCUCAACCCAGAGACGCCACCCGAUACUGCUGUGACUUGAGUGCGGUAGGGGAGCGGGGAAUUCCUAGUGUAGCGGUGAAAUGCGCAGAUAUUAGGAGGAACACCAGUGGCGAAGGCGCCGCUCUGGGCCGUAACUGACGCUGAGGAGCGAAAGCGUGGGGAGCAAACAGG